Molecule: long non-coding RNA, 3336 nt
Filed under: Equus caballus (horse)
Lineage: Eukaryota; Metazoa; Chordata; Mammalia; Perissodactyla; Equidae
Description: lncRNA (ENSECAG00000047315.1)
Source: RNAcentral
CACAUUGAUUGAUUUGUGGAUGUUGAACCACCCUUGCAUCUCUGUAAUAAAUCCCACUUGAUCUUGAUGUGUGAUAUUUUUAAUGUACUGUUGAAUUUAGUUUGCUAAUAUUUUGUUGAGGAUUUUUGCAUGUAUGUUCAUCAGGGAUAUUGGCCUGAAUUUUCUUUUCUUGUGAUAUCUUUGUCUGGCUUUUGUAUCAGGGUAACGCUGGCCUUAUAAAAUAAGUUUGGAAGUGUUCCCUCCUCUUCUGUUUUUGGAAGAGUUUCAGUAGGAUUGGUGUUAACCUUCUUUAAAUGUAUGGUAGAAUUCACCAGUGAAGACAUCUGGUCCUGGGAUUUUGUUUCUUGGGAAGUUUUUGAUUACCAAUUCAAUCUCUUUACUAGUAAUUUGACUGUUCAGAUUUUCCAUUUCUUAAUGAUUCAGUCUUGAUGGGUUAUAUGUUUGUAGGAAUUUAUCCACUUCUUUUUAGGCUGUCCAAUUUGUUGACAUAUAAUUGUUCAUAGCAGUCUCUUAUGAUCCUUUGUAUUUGUGUGAUAUUAGUUCUAAUGUCUCUUCUUUCAUUUAUAAUUUUAUUUAUUUGAGUCCUCUCUCUUUUUUUUUUUCUUGGUAAGUCCAGCUAAGGGUUUGUCUAUUUUGUUUAUCUUUUCAAAAUACCCAUUGUACAGAGUUUAUUGACCUCCCCGCCUUCCAAGGACACUGGGUCUGGGCCCUACAUGAAGGAAUGUGUCUGGGCUUGGGGCCAAAGAUGGCCACUUCAGCCCUGACUCUAAGGCACAAGUUACAAAGAAUAUGUCCUGCGUCAUGUUCCUUUUAGAAUUGCUUUUGCUGCAUCUCAUAAGUUUUACUGUGUUGUGUCUCCAUUUCCAUUUGUCUCAAGAUAUUUUUAAAUUUCUCUUUUGAUUCCUUCUUUGACCCAUUGGUUGUUGAGGAGUGUGUUGUUUAAUCUCCACAUAUUUGUAGAUUUUCCAGUUUUCUUCUUGUAAUUGAUUUUUAGUUUCAUACCAUUGUGGUCAGAAAAGAUGGUUGAUAUGAGUUCAGUCUUCUUAGAUUUAUUAAGACUUGUUUUGUGGCUUAGCAUGUGAUCUAUCCUAGAGAAUUUUCCAUAUGUGCUUGAGAAGAAUGCGAAUUCUGCUGCUGUUGGAUGGAAUGUUCUAUAAAUAUUUGUUAGGUCCAUCUGGUCUAAUGUGUAGUUUAAGUCCAAUGUUCCCUUAUUGAUUUUUUGUCUGGAUGAUCUAUCUGUUGUUGAAAGUGGGGUAGAGAAAACUUUAUUUUAUUUUUCUUUUCUUUUUUUUUUGCUGAUGAAGAUUCCCCCUGAGCUAACACCCAUGCCAAUCUUCCUCUAUUUUUUAGUAUGUGGGCCACCAGCACAGUAUGGCUGCUGAUAGAGUGGUGUAGGUUCAUGCCCUGGAACUGAACCCAGGCCACCAAAGUGGAGUACGCUGAACAUAACCACUAGGCCACUGGGGCUGGCCUGAGAAAACUUUACUUAAUCUUGAUCAAAUCCACAAACUCUGCCAUUACAUUUUAAUGAUGGCCAAAACCCUCCCCCUUUUUUAAAAAAUAUAGAUUCAUAGGAAGUUGCAAAGGUAGUACAGAGACGUCUUGUGUACCUUCAUCAGUUUCCUCUAAUGAUCACAUCCUAUCUAACUACAGUACAAUAUCAAAACUGGGCAACAUAUUGGUACAACGUGUGCCAUAGUUUUAUGUCGUUUUAUCACGUGUGAUUUGUAUAACCACCACUGCAAUCAAGAUAUAGAACUGUGUCAUCACUACAAAGAUCUUCCUCAUGCUACUGCUUUAUAGCUACACUCUUUUAAAAAAUUUUCUCUUACAAUUUAAAAAAGACACUUUUGAAAGAUCCUGCCUAUCUCUGUUGUGUUAAGGGGUCAAAGAAAUUGGAUUUUGGAUGUGCCCACUUUUCAGCCAGAGAAAGGGACAACGAGAUAAAUGAUGGGGGCAAUGAAGUUGCGGCAACAGGAAUGACCCUGGGGGAAUCCCAAAGGAGAGAGCAUAAACUUAAAGAGAGAGUCCCCUAAUGGGUCUUGUUUCCUGGGGGCAGGUUCUGUUUAAAAAAUCUUGCGUUUUACUGCAAGGGAAUACAAAGGAUGCAGAAUACCAACAACCGCCAGUAAGGUGCUAGUUCUAAUUUUAGCCACUGUAUUCUGUCUGACCUCCAAACAGGUUGUUUGCAAUCUCUGUCUCCCCUUUAUGUUUAGUGCGGAAGCAAAUUAUUUCUUUUGUCUUCACUGCUUGGGAGCGAUUGUGAAAUAUUUUUGGUAAAUAUGUUUAGGUUUUUCUGGGUAUCUAUCUAUUCAUGGGUAAAUGAAAACUUUUCUUGAUCUCUCUUGGACAGAAAGCAAGAAGAAUGUAAGGUUUCCAAUAAGAAAAAAAGAAGACGGUUAGAAUAAAAAUUUAUAGAAGCCAGGGACAAAAGCAAAAAAGUACCUGAGUACACAGUGGAGGGAAAACUCAAGACAAAAGAAAAAUAGAAUCCUGGGAUCAGUGGAGGCCCAAAGAAGCCCCAAAGGAGAGAAUCUGGUCUUCUCACGGGACCAAGCCGAGGUGCGCACUUGAAGGAUAAGAUGCACAUGACUUUGGAGGAGAGCAGUGGAAACCAGGAAGGUCAGAGCAGUCAUUGGACCCUCCUGGGAUGAGUUUGAUGAUUACAUAAGGACAGGGACUCAAAAUCUUAAAUUUGCUAAGGGGCUGGCCCCGUGGCCGAGUGGUUAAGUUCGCGUGCUCCGCUGCAGGCGGCCCAGUGUUUCGUUGGUUCAAAUCCUGGGCACAGACAUGGCACUGCUCAUCAAACCACGCUGAGGUGGCGUCCCACAUGCCACAACUAGAAGGACCCACAAUGAAGAAUAUACAACUAUGUACCAGGGGGCUUUGGGGAGAAAAAGGAAAAAAUAAAAUCUUUAAAAAAUAACUUAAAUUUGCUAGGAACCUUAGAAAUUGUAUAGUUCAAUUUUUUUUAGUUUUAGUUUUGUUUUUACCACCUCCAUCUCCUCCACCCACUCCACUCCUACCUCCUUGGGAAUCCUGGAGGUGCUUCACUUCUGAAAACAUUUCUAACCAGAGAAAACACUGCAAUCAAUGUAUGCUCCUCAAAUGUAUGCCACACUACUUGUGUAUGCUUUUGUGUAGACUAUAUGAGAAAAAGUAUUCUUUUCCUUUCUGCCCAUAAGUUCACGAUCUUGAAAUCCACCAUCCUGACAUCUAAAGUACUCUUAAAAACUGAAAGUGUUUUGGUAAGUUUGGCACCAAAACUUAUUUAGUGGCAAAACUUGACCUGAGCUGAUGGGUAGUUUAUAGCCUUUCUCUAUCUCAUUUACUGUG